This 517-nucleotide ribosomal RNA is filed under the name uncultured fungus. Its description in RNAcentral is "SSU rRNA". It matches the Rfam family "Eukaryotic small subunit ribosomal RNA", at positions 209 to 726 of the family's 1831-position model. Lineage: Eukaryota; Fungi. The record is from RNAcentral.
AUUAGAUAAAAAACCAAUGCCCUUCGGGGCUCCUUGGUGAUUCAUAGUAACUUAUCGAAUCGCAUGGCCUUGCGCUGGCGAUGGUUCAUUCAAAUUUCUGCCCUAUCAACUUUCGAUGGUAGGAUAGUGGCCUACCAUGGUGGCAACGGGUAACGGGGAAUUAGGGUUCGAUUCCGGAGAGGGAGCCUGAGAAACGGCUACCACAUCUAAGGAAGGCAGCAGGCGCGCAAAUUACCCAAUCCCGAUACGGGGAGGUAGUGACAAUAAAUACUGAUACAGGGCUCUUUCGGGUCUUGUAAUUGGAAUGAGUACAAUUUAAACACCUUAACGAGGAGCAAUUGGAGGGCAAGUCUGGUGCCAGCAGCCGCGGUAAUUCCAGCUCCAAUAGCGUAUACUAAAGUUGUUGCAGUUAAAAAGCUCGUAGUUGAACCUUGGGUCUGGCUGGCCGGUCCGCCUCACCGCGUGCACUGGUCCGGCUGGAUCUUUCCUUCUGGGGAGCCCCAUGGCCUUUAUUGGC